GCUCAAUGAUAAAAAAAAACGAGUAAACAAACAUUUAAGCAUUCAAUAUGCAUUUAAUGCAAAUGCGAUAAACAACACGUUACAUGCGAUAAACAAAUUAC
Octopus sinensis (East Asian common octopus) is the source of this 101-nucleotide long non-coding RNA. RefSeq lists it as uncharacterized. The record is from RefSeq and is a predicted model, not a curated record. The transcript is spliced from 4 exons. Lineage: Eukaryota; Metazoa; Mollusca; Cephalopoda; Octopoda; Octopodidae.